UGGGGAAUAUUGCACAAUGGAGGGAACUCUGAUGCAGCGACGCCGCGUGAGUGAUGAAGGAAUUCGUUUCGUAAAACUCUGUUCUAUGGGAAGAAAAGGACUGUACCAUAGGAGAAAGCUCCGGCUAAAUACGUGCCAGCAGCCGCGGUAAUACGUAUGGAGCGAGCGUUGUCCGGAAUUAUUGGGCGUAAAGGGUGCGCAGGCGGCUUUACAAGUUGGAUGUGAAAUAUUGUGGCUCAACCACAAACGUGCAUCCAAAACUGCAAAGCUUGAGUUAAGGAGAGGUAAGUGGAAUUCCUGGUGUAGCGGUGGAAUGCGUAGAUAUCAGGAGGAAUACCGGUGGCGAAGGCGACUUACUGGACUUAAACUGACGCUCAGGCACGAAAGCGUGGGAGCAAACAGG
Molecule: ribosomal RNA, 403 nt
Filed under: Fusobacteriota bacterium
Lineage: Bacteria; Fusobacteriati; Fusobacteriota
Description: Fusobacteria bacterium partial 16S ribosomal RNA
Rfam family: Bacterial small subunit ribosomal RNA
Source: RNAcentral